Long non-coding RNA from Zootoca vivipara (common lizard), 5014 nucleotides. RefSeq lists it as uncharacterized. Lineage: Eukaryota; Metazoa; Chordata; Lepidosauria; Squamata; Lacertidae. The record is from RefSeq and is a predicted model, not a curated record.
CCAGGUGGGGCUCGCUAGUUCUGGGAGAAGGUGAAUGCUUCCUCAGCUGGAGGAGGCUCCGGACAGGUGAGGGUCACAAGCCUCAUCAAGCCCAGAUGCUGCAAUCAGCAUGCAAAGGGAAGCCGAGCUGAGAGGCUGGGUCUCUGCAAGUCUCCAGGAUCUCUGCAAGACUUCAGUUUGGACUUCAGACACAUGACAUCCUGACUUGCUGCCAGCUGGAGACUGAAUGUUGCAGCUGAAGAAGGCACCUGUAACCUCUUUUGAGUAUGUGCUGCAAAUAUUGUUACACAUCACUCCAACCUCUGAAAAUGAGAGACACCAGGCGUUCCAGUGCUUAUCUGAGACUUGGAAGGAAGGUACCUCGGUUUUCGAACGUAAUCCGUUCCGGAAGACCUUUCGAGUUCCGAAAUUUUCGAAAACCAAAAACUCAAAAUGGAAAUCCCAAUACGGAAUCUGCAUUUCCGGUUUGACUUCUGAGGUGUGUUCGAAAACCGAAGCAUUUACUUCCUGGUUAAUGGCGUUCAAGUUCCGAAACGUUCGUCAACGGAGAUGUUUGAAAACCGAGGUACCACUGUAGCUGAUUUUCGGGUGUUUCAUUCUGAUGUUGACGAGAGUGCCUAUCUAGUUAGCGGUGUUUUAUAAUGUGGAUUAUCGCCCCCUUAGCAUUUUUGUAUUUGAUCUUUGUUUAUGUUACGUUGUGAACUACUUCGAGCGAUCCCUGCACCCUGCUUAAAACAUAAGCAGAAUAGCUUAAAUAAAUUAAAUAAUAUAUUUGGCUGGGGAAUAAUCCAGAUUUUAGAAACAUAACCAGCUUUGUACACUUCAUUUGUAGUGCAGCAUCUUUCAUCCAGUGUUCUCCCUCAGAAUUUCAGAGAAGCAAACUUGUUCUGUUGUUGGUUUUUUAUUAAAAAAGCUUUAAUUUUACAUCUGCAUUUGAGCAUUCAAACCACCACAAUCCUGGUUUGUUUUCAUAUUACUCACAGAAAACUAAAAUAGUAACAGAGGUGGGUAGGCUGUACUCCUCAUCUCUCCACCAACAUGUACAGAUUUAAGUUCUUCUUCCAGAGGUGGAAUGCUAACAAACAGUGACUUUUGAGAUAGAAUUCCUGCAGUCAUGCUCACUCGCCACAGUGCAAAGGGCAACAAACAAAACCCAACAGGUCAUAUUGGGAUGAGGUGGGGAGGUGAGGAAUGGGCUCUGACAAGGAGGCAUGUGAUUAGCCUUCACAGCAACGUCCUCUACUGAUUUGUCAGCAAACGGUCAAAUGCAUGAAGCUCAAAAACAUAAACGGGGGGGGGGGGGAGACUUAAGGAACAGUACCGGCUGCAAGAUAAAUAAGCGAGAAGGAAGGAUUGCUUCAGAACAGGGAUUAUGGCAGCACCUGGCGGCCCAUAGCUGUGCCUGCCUCCUUUAUUUUUAGGCUUCCUAUGCCAGGAAGCUAAAUCUACCCACUCUUUUUUUAAAAAAAAAAAUCCCCACAAUGCACCUCCUCUAAGGCGUUUUGUUUUGUAGGACCCACCUCUCCUGCUCAAUCUAUACUGCUCAAUCUAUACUAAUAUAACUUUGGUUGGGAUGGUUUUGCUUUUUAUAACUGCAUGUUGCACUGUUGCAACCUGUCCUGAAACCUUAUGGUUGAAGGGCAAGUAAGGAAUAGGAACGUUGCUGUGUGUCAUUUGUGGGAAAUUAAAAUGGCGGCUCAACACAGCUUACCUUUGCUGCCCAGAGCAGUGCCACUGGGGCCAGGUAAGCCCACGAGGGCCCACUUACCAAGGAGAAGGGCCCCUGCCCACAAGGACAAUUUGCCCAGGACUCUCCAAUGCUGGAGCGGGCCCAGUUCCUCCUAGUCCUCAGCCUGCUCUCCUCUUUCCAACACUACUUUUCUCUGAAUGUGCUGCUCCAAAACACCAGAAGCUCCAGAAGAAGGCCAGGUGUGCUGUGGAUUUACCUUCACCAUGCUGCUAUGACCCUAGGGUCACGAGCAGAUGAUUAUUCAUAACCAGUACCACACAUAGCUACCAAGUUAUCCCUUUUUUAAAGGGAUUUUCCCUCAUGCUGAAUAGGCUUCCUCGCGAGAAAAGGGAAAACUUGGCAGCUCUGGUACCACAUUCUGGGACUGGUGUGGAAGCAAUCUCAUGUUACCUUAGUACAGCUGCUCACCUUUGCUUGCUGCCUGAGCUUUUAACUAGUGUUGCCAGGAUCUGAAGCUAACAAACCAAGCAGGUAACAAUCAAGAAGGCAGAAAGCUGCAUAUUUCCACCAAUAGGGAUGAAAUCUAGAAGCAGGUGGAUUUUGAUUUGUUUGGAAAACUGGCUUGACAUCGCAUGAAAUGGAACAUUUUUUUCCUGGAUUUGGUCAGGCAAAAGUGACGAUGGAACUAACCUGAAAACAUUUUAAAACACCCAUUUUAAUCAGAAGGUGCGCCUUGGCGAUUGCUGCUACAGUUGCCAGGCAUAAUUAUAUAUGCUAAAGUUCAUGCCACAGAAUAAGACUCUGUUCAUGCCACAGAAUAAAAAUGAAUUCCAUGUCUAUACGUUUUCUCCCAUUAACAGACUGAAGGCUUAUAAUGCAGACCAACAAGCAAAAAUGGCAGAAAUGGGCUGCUGUGAAACAAGUGACUAAAAAGCACAACAAAAGCUUUGGAAAGCACAAAAGAGCAAAUGUAAUGGAAGGUCACAGAGGAAGCGUCUAUAGCAAGAUCAGAAAGCCUGUCUUUAUGGCAGUGCAUCCUAACACUCUUCUCUGUUUGUACUCUCUCCAAACCACACCAUAAGAUCCAGGGUCAUUUCACAAAAGUAGCUGGCUAGGAACACCUCAGGCUUCUGGGAUCUUUUUUUUUAACCACUAAUUCGAGGCACAUGUAGAAUAAUGGGGGGGGGGGAGUGUACAGCAGAGUCAAUUACGUACUGCACUGCAUGACUCAUCCACUGUAUUUACAAAUACAAGCCUACACCCAAGUCAGUGUUUCUAACACAAAACUCAAAGUAGCUGGUACAGCUCCCAAAGGCAACCAAUUAAUACUCGUAUUUUACAGGCGAGGAGCACUGUGGGUAAGGAAUUAGUAAAUUAGCAAUUUGGAAGAGAUUUAAUUUCCAAAAUGGCUUGCCAUUGUUAAACUUACGGGAAUGAAAACAAACACCUUCACCGAUCUCCUGGAAGGUUACUCUGCAAAUUUAUACCAGAAGACCCUGGUGUAGGGUACUGGGUGAUAUUGGGGGGGGGCAUAUGGGCAUGAUUGUGUAGCUAUAUAAUCCUUUUGUUAGGGAAUAGAACAGGAAGGAUGCUAGCAAACUCCUGUUUGUUGAUAAAAUUUUGCAGUCAAACUCAGCUACUCCCCUCCUGAUCAUAACCGUGCUAGGUACUGUAGUUGCUAUUUUCCUAUGUGACAAAACAUUCCUUCUGUGUAGGGGUGAUUUGCCCCUCCCCCCUUUUUAAGCACUUGAUUUAAAAACAUGUGCCGUAGUUUAAUUUUAAAUAGUUCCUUUGACUUUAUAAGCUGUUUACGUUUGUGAGGUUUGCUUUCUCCCUUCACCUCCCUGCUCUUUUCUGUCAACUGGAAGCAACAUCCCUCAACCAUCAUGUGAUCAAGUGAGUGAGAUCACACUGCUACAGGGCCAAACUAGGGGGCAAGGGCAGUGGGCCCACCUUAUCAAAACUGGGCCCAUGGAGAUGGGGAAAAUUUAAAGGAAGCGAGGUGCCGAUAACCUACCUGACAAGAGACACGCGUUACAUGAUGGGUAGGCUUGCCUCUAUGUCAAAGGAAUAAUAACCUCAGGCUCAAUGUGGCCCACUGGGCUUCUCUGUCCUGCAUCCUUGGGACUCUCCACAGUGUUUUGAGGGCUGACAGGAUGGUUCUGGGACUCUGCAGGUCAGGAAAAGGCUGGGGGCUUGAAAUGCCGUUGACUUUUCAUUCACAGAAAGUAACACAGUGCGGUCUCCCUGGCUGGACUCCUUCAGCUUGAGACGCUGCUGCAAACCGAGCUCUGCUCUAGCUCAGGCAUCCCCAAACUGCGACCCUCCAGAUGUUUUGGCCUACAACCCCAUGAUCCCUAGCUAAGAGGACCAGUGGUCAGGGAUGAUGGGAAUUGUAGUCCAAAGCAUCCAACCACCAGGACCCGGGGUCUAAGUCCUCGUCUUCCCUGUCCUCCUCCUGGACGGGAGCCCACCCCCCCAUCCAGCCAGUCCCUGACACACAGGCUACAUGUCCUUGCUAGACUACCAUCACACACACACACUUGUCUGGAUGGAUGGAGAGAAGUGAGUAUGGCUAGACUGGUGGUUACUGUACAAAGAAAGGAAUCACUUCCAUUUUCCCACCACCAAUGACAUGUGGCUCCUGUGAGAGUUGCCCGCUAGGUAAUAUGGCCCCUAGACUUAUUUUCUACCUUUCUGGUGACAUUGUCAUCCAGGAGUUGAAGGGGCAGAAUACAUGACAGAAAUGCCAAUUAACGUUACACUCUUGUGAGUUAGAAGUGGGUUCUGAUCUAAGCUGGGUUUCACCAGAAACAAAUCUACCCAUUUUCUUGUUUUAAGGAAAGGAUAAAGACGGAGUAGAUUAAAUAGAGGGGAGGGGAGAGAAGAGGCAGGAAGACAGGACGGGUGUACAGAAAAACAGAGUGCUGUCAUCUUUUAUAGUUGCAUCAGAUACCCGUUUAAGAUCACGUCACCUGUGGAAAUGCCCAAGUAGCUCAGUUCAUCGCACGCGUACUCAGAAGCGAAUCCCAUUAUGUUCAAUAGGGCUUCCUCCCUUAGUUGGACAGCAGCUCAUUUGCCAGUUUUGACUUGGCUUGGCAAAGAUGGGCCAGAGCUGACUAAAACCAGCCAAGGUGAUUUAUCCGAUUAGUUCUGCUACCAUUCCUUUUCUAGUUGAUCACAGGUACCAUACCUGCUCUUCCCCCCUUUAAUCUAGUACAUAACAGUUACAAGUCAAGCAUUAUCGUUUAAUCAUGCAACAUGUCAUAGAUUACAAAACUGACUAGAUAACUGUAUAUAUUAAAUAAAUCUUGGUCAGGGGGG